Pristis pectinata (smalltooth sawfish) is the source of this 1203-nucleotide long non-coding RNA. RefSeq lists it as uncharacterized. Lineage: Eukaryota; Metazoa; Chordata; Chondrichthyes; Rhinopristiformes; Pristidae. The transcript has 3 exons. The record is from RefSeq and is a predicted model, not a curated record.
CUGACCUGAGGUCACUUUGUGGCCAGGAGCUGCGGUGCAGACCAGAGGUGGUGUCUGUGGUGUCCUGCUGCAGUGAAUCCAGUCAGCCAUAAGAUGGCAGUGCAGCUAGCUGCUUUGAGGAGCUAGACCAGUAAAUUUUCAACACAUAACUGCGGAAGCUGGUAGUUUGAAAUGAAACCUGAAAAUACUGGGAAUGCACUACAGGACAGGAAAUAUCUCACAGCCACAGGAUGGACUGCAAUCACACAAGUGUCUGUGCAGUUUCUGGAAAAUUUUAUAAUCUUUGUAAUUGCAUUAUAAUAAAAGUAUGAUUUUGAAACUGCAGUUGAAGCUCAACCAAAGCUUGGACAAUUUAAGGGACUUAAGUAGUUGGGUAGAAUUUCUAUUUUGGGAAAAAGAGUGCAAAUUGUGUUUGAAUUUUGUUGCUUUUUGGAAGUGAGGGUAUAGUUUAAGUUUCCAUAUAAAAUCAUUUCAGUAAUCACAAAUGCAAAAUGCUCAUUGCACCACUAUGUUUAAAUAUAAUUGCUCAUUGUAAUUUAAAAAAUCAUUAAUUUAUUUAAGAGUGAUAAUGGUGCAGUUUUAUUAAUACAUUAGUAAUAUAUUUGUCUCAAAAAAUAAGCUUUUUCAGCAAGAACGUGCAGACCUCAGUUGGCAAAAAAAAAGACAAAUUUAAAAUCACUAAAAGAAUGUGGAAUAAAAACAUGCUAAACUAUUCACUAAUUUCAUUGGUGUGCAUCAAUGUGAGUUACUCUUCACACUGCUAAGUACUAAUUUUGUCACAUCUUUCAUUUGUCAAGUUGUUGGAUGGAUUUUUUUGUUAGCAAGAUAAUUUUAGUGCAGAAAAAAUUUUAAACUGUGUUACUCAUUACUGUCAAAGGAAGGCUGCUUCCUAUGGUGAAGGAGCUGAGGACCAGAGGUCAUGUAUAAAACAAGGGGGAAGAGAAUUAAUAGUGACCUGAGAAGAAAUCUUUUCUUAUGCAGCCAAUUUCACCAACUUGCAUGAAUAGUCCCAACAAUGACAAGGAAACUCUGCCCUGCUGUCUAUGUAAAGUAAAGGUUUUUUGGAGUGUGGUGUGGUGGAUGUGCAAUUCACCAUUGUAGAUUAUGAAUGUCCUGCCCGCUGUUGAUUGACUGUUUCCUGAAAGUAUGCACGUUUGCUCAUUGGUUGAAGACUGCAUCUAGCUGACUGCAAAUCUCACACAA